UACGAAGGGGCUAGCGUUGUUCGGAAUGACUGGGCGUAAAGGGCGCGUAGGCGGCUUUUAAGUCGGGCGUGAAAGCCCCGGGCUCAACCUGGGAACGGCGCUUGAUACUGGAAGGCUUGAGGGCGGGAGAGGAUGGUGGAAUUCCCAGUGUAGAGGUGAAAUUCGUAGAUAUGUGGAAGAACACCGGUGGCGAAAGCGGUUUUCUAGCUAUUACCUGACGCUGAGGCGCGAGAGCAU
RNAcentral lists this ribosomal RNA (237 nucleotides) under uncultured bacterium. RNAcentral describes it as "partial 16S ribosomal RNA". It matches the Rfam family "Bacterial small subunit ribosomal RNA", at positions 524 to 762 of the family's 1533-position model. The record is from RNAcentral.